This 515-nucleotide ribosomal RNA is filed under the name uncultured bacterium. RNAcentral describes it as "partial 16S ribosomal RNA". It matches the Rfam family "Bacterial small subunit ribosomal RNA", at positions 29 to 523 of the family's 1533-position model. The record is from RNAcentral.
AAUGAACGCUGGCGGCGUGCCUAAUACAUGCAAGUCGAGCGAAUGGAUUAAGAGCUUGCUCUUAUGAAGUUAGCGGCGGACGGGUGAGUAACACGUGGGUAACCUGCCCAUAAGGCUGGGAUAACUCCGGGAAACCGGGGAUAAUACCGGAUAACAUUUUGAACCGCAUGGUUCGAAAUUGAAAGGAGGCUUCGGCUGUCACUUAUGGAUGGACCAGCGUCGCAUUAGCUAGUGGGUGAGGUAACGGCUCACCAAGGCAACGAUGCGUAGCCGACCUGAGAGGGUGAUCGGCCACACUGGGACUGAGACACGGCCCAGACUCCUACGGGAGGCAGCAGUAGGGAAUCUUCCGCAAUGGACGAAAGUCUGACGGAGCAACGCCGCGUGAGUGAUGAAGGCUUUCGGGUCGUAAAACUCUGUUGUUAGGGAAGAACAAGUGCUAGUUGAAUAAGCUGGCACCUUGACGGUACCUAACCAGAAAGCCACGGCUAACUACGUGCCAGCAGCCGCGGUAA